GGCCUAACACAUGCAAGUCGAGCGGUAGAGAGAAGCUUGCUUCUCUUGAGAGCGGCGGACGGGUGAGUAAUGCCUAGGAAUCUGCCUGGUAGUGGGGGAUAACGUUCGGAAACGGACGCUAAUACCGCAUACGUCCUACGGGAGAAAGCAGGGGACCUUCGGGCCUUGCGCUAUCAGAUGAGCCUAGGUCGGAUUAGCUAGUUGGUGAGGUAAUGGCUCACCAAGGCGACGAUCCGUAACUGGUCUGAGAGGAUGAUCAGUCACACUGGAACUGAGACACGGUCCAGACUCCUACGGGAGGCAGCAGUGGGGAAUAUUGGACAAUGGGCGAAAGCCUGAUCCAGCCAUGCCGCGUGUGUGAAGAAGGUCUUCGGAUUGUAAAGCACUUUAAGUUGGGAGGAAGGGUUGUAGAUUAAUACUCUGCAAUUUUGACGUUACCGACAGAAUAAGCACCGGCUAACUCUGU
Molecule: ribosomal RNA, 466 nt
Filed under: gamma proteobacterium BAL79.1
Lineage: Bacteria; Pseudomonadati; Pseudomonadota; Gammaproteobacteria
Description: bacterial SSU rRNA
Rfam family: Bacterial small subunit ribosomal RNA
Source: RNAcentral